This 655-nucleotide small RNA is filed under the name Pan troglodytes (chimpanzee). RNAcentral's name for it is "retained intron". Lineage: Eukaryota; Metazoa; Chordata; Mammalia; Primates; Hominidae. The record is from RNAcentral.
CCCUGGCAGGCUGAGGUACAAUCUGAACUACUCUUUUCAAUGCAGAUGGUAUGGUGUAUGCUCUGGGGGGAAUGGGCCCUGACACGGCCCCCCAGGCCCAGGUACGUGUGUAUGAGCCCCGUCGGGACUGCUGGCUUUCGCUACCCUCCAUGCCCACACCCUGCUAUGGGGCCUCCACCUUCCUGCACGGGAACAAGAUCUAUGUCCUGGGGGGCCGCCAGGGCAAGCUCCCGGUGACUGCUUUUGAAGCCUUUGAUCUGGAGGCCCGUACAUGGACCCGGCAUCCAAGCCUACCCAGCCGUCGGGCCUUUGCUGGCUGCGCCAUGGCUGAAGGCAGCGUCUUUAGCCUGGGUGGCCUGCAGCAGCCUGGGCCCCACAACUUCUACUCUCGCCCACAUUUUGUCAACACUGUGGAGAUGUUUGACCUGGAGCAUGGUGAGCAGUGGCUGUUCUGGGCUGUCCUCCCGCUCUCUGUGGGAUGGAGGGGCAUAGUGCGUACAUGACUAGAUCUGACCUCCCCUCUCCUGCAGGGUCCUGGACCAAACUGCCCCGCAGCCUGCGCAUGAGGGAUAAGAGGGCAGACUUUGUGGUUGGGUCCCUUGGGGGCCACAUUGUGGCCAUUGGGGGCCUUGGUAAGUCUCUAUGGGGCUGGGGA